GACGAACGCUGGCGGCUUGCUUAACACAUGCAAGUCGAGCGGUAAGGCCCUUUGGGGUACACGAGCGGCGAACGGGUGAGUAACACGUGAGUAAUCUGCCUUUGGCUUGGGAAUAACUUCGGGAAAUCGGGGCUAAUGCCUGAUGUUUACUGUCUGCUGCAUGGUGGGUGGUGGAAAGAUUUUUUGGCCAGGGAUGAGCUCGCGGUCUAUCAGCUUGUUGGUGGGGUAAUGGCUACCAAGGCUUUGACGGGUAGCCGGCCUGAGAGGGUGUUCGGCCACACUGGGACUGAGACACGGCCCAGACUCCUACGGGAGGCAGCAGUGGGGAAUAUUGCGCAAUGGGCGUAAGCCUGACGCAGCGACGCCG
Molecule: ribosomal RNA, 367 nt
Filed under: uncultured bacterium
Lineage: Bacteria
Description: bacterial SSU rRNA
Rfam family: Bacterial small subunit ribosomal RNA
Source: RNAcentral